Homo sapiens (human) is the source of this 1450-nucleotide long non-coding RNA. Ensembl annotates it as long intergenic non-protein coding RNA 2631. The record is from Ensembl. Lineage: Eukaryota; Metazoa; Chordata; Mammalia; Primates; Hominidae.
GAGAAACACACAGAGACCCAGGGAAGAGGCCAUGUGAAUGAAGAUGGAGGCAGAGACUGAAUUUAGGUUCCCACAAACCAAGGAAUGCCAGAAACCACCAAAAGCUGGAAGAGGAAAAGGAGGAUUCUUCCUUACAGACUUCAGAGAGAGCAUGGCCCUGAAAACACAUUGAUUUCAGACUUUCAGCCUCCAGAAUCAUGAGAGAAAAAAUGUCUGUUGUUUUAAGUCACAGCAGCUGUAAGAAACCAGUACAAGUAUCACUGUGUUUUAAGCCUGUGGGCCUGACUCAUGAGUGUCUAUCAGAAAUGCCCUCUCCUCUAUAUUCACUUAGAUGUUUCAUAUUUCUCCUUUGCAUGUCAUUCAUGGCUUUCAGGAAGACUUUUUUGGCAGCCCAGGGCAGGUCUGGCUUUAUGCUACCAGCAGCCCAGGGCAGGUCUAGCUUUAUGCUGUCAGAUGGAGUGGGCUAUAAGUAGAAUGUGACCAGGCUGAUGGUGAUGCUGCUGCUUCUAGCCUGGCAUCAUACUGGUUUUCCUCUGCAGUUGAGAAGAGUCAUGUGCAAGCUCGUGGCAGCAGCAAGUCCUCCUAAUAUGUCCCUGGUAUCAAACUAACUCAUUAGACUGUGGUAGCUGUGGUUGACUCCUGGUUUCUCCCAACUCCACCCUUUUGGCAGGCAGCAACCCUGGCCAGCAGCUGCUCAUGGUCUAGGAAGGACAGCUGUCUUAACACCCAUUCAUCUGUAGAGAGCAGCCUUUUGGAUCAGCGGAUGGCUCCACCAGAUGCUCAGCUUGUUUUCAGUUCUGGAGUCUGAAAUCCCCAGUGCCAUCUACCUGGCAUCAGUCUCAGGUGCAGCAUUUUCAUAAGGACCCUGAUGUCAGCAGCUGCUUGUGGUGAAACAUCUCACAGUGGAAGAGGAGCAUUCUGUGUUGAGAAUUUCCAUUGACGAAGCCAACUGAGUGGCCUGAUUCCCUUGGACCAGCAAUCUAGAGCUAGGGAAGAUGUUGCCCCAAGGAAGAGGCACAGCAGACACUUGGCUCUCCUCUUGGGUUUCUGCUUUCUCUGAGAAAACAGAAGUUUGAGGCCUCUAGAAGCACUGCAUUCCCUCCAAAGGGAGGUUGUAGAUACAUUAAUUAAUAUGAUUUUAAUUCAAAACUUCCUGAGGCAGAUAAUUCUAAAUGAUUAUCCCAAAAAUAUUUCCAACACCCUUCUUUUUACCACCCACUGGCCCCCAAAUCCUCAAUUUUCCAGUCUCCCUUGAGCUAAGUGUGGCCCUAUGACUCACUUCCAGCCAUGAAAACAAGUGCAAAUCUGUUAGGAGUAUGUUCUGGGGCAAUUUUUGCUCUCCUGAUGAAGACAAAGGCUGUUGAUCCACUGAACCCACCCAGGUAAUCACUUAUUUUGUUCUUGUUCUAAGAGAAAAAUGACCCCAACUAUUAAAGUUACUGUGAGUUGA